UUGUCAAAAAUCUAUUAAGGUGAUUUUUUCCCUACAGUAUUCUGGCAAUGGUGACAUUUGCUGUUGUUUGUGUUGUUGGGAUAAUGCAGCUACCACUCACCCCAAUCAUUCUAUUAUUCCAAUUACUGAUCCUAUUUAUGUCCAACAGAAUGCACAGCAACCAAUUCAACAACAACCCAAAAAGAAUCCAGAAGAGGAACAGCCAUUGCAACAAGUUCAACAAGGUCAACCAUCUCCAAUAUCUGAAAUUUGAAUUGCGUUCACAAUUUUCUGGACUGAUGGAAAAAGAGUUUAAUUACCAACUACACCACAGUAAGUUGGGAAAUGAAGAACUCGUUUUUGCUUGGAAAGACAAGAAUAUUCGUCGCAAAGAACGAAACAAUUUUUUACAAAUAUAUUUUUUUUAACAAAAGCAACUCUUUCCUUAUUACCUUUCAUAGUAUACUCUAGAUCAGAAAGUCCUUCUCUAUUUGUCUCUUACCCAGGACCAGAAAGUUACAUUUCAUAGUUAGGCUAUGGAUCACAUACGCUAUGGCCUCUAGCAUUAUGGACAUUGGUUGCAUACUAAUUUACGAUUCUAGGCCAGAAAGUUGGUUGCCCUGAUAUGGCGGUCGGAAGGCGAUUUAAAGGUGUUUUUUUGAAAUGUUUUAUGACUCCUUAAG
Chrysoperla carnea is the source of this 662-nucleotide long non-coding RNA. RefSeq lists it as uncharacterized. The transcript has 3 exons. Lineage: Eukaryota; Metazoa; Arthropoda; Insecta; Neuroptera; Chrysopidae. The record is from RefSeq and is a predicted model, not a curated record.